Molecule: ribosomal RNA, 212 nt
Filed under: Paracontias vermisaurus
Lineage: Eukaryota; Metazoa; Chordata; Lepidosauria; Squamata; Scincidae
Description: partial 16S ribosomal RNA
Rfam family: Bacterial large subunit ribosomal RNA
Source: RNAcentral
UUUAACGGCCGCGGUAUUCUAACCGUGCAAAGGUAGCGUAAUCACUUGUCUUCUAAAUAAAGACUCGUAUGAACGGCUAAAUGAGGACAGACCUGUCUCUUACAACUAAUCAGUGAAACUGAUCACCCAGUACAAAAGCUGGGAUAAAAACAUUAGACGAGAAGACCCUGUGGAGCUUCAAGUACGCCAUCAACUAGCANUGCACACUGACC